This 253-nucleotide ribosomal RNA is filed under the name uncultured bacterium. RNAcentral's name for it is "partial 16S ribosomal RNA". It matches the Rfam family "Bacterial small subunit ribosomal RNA", at positions 524 to 776 of the family's 1533-position model. The record is from RNAcentral.
UACGUAGGGUGCGAGCGUUAAUCGGAAUUACUGGGCGUAAAGCGUGCGCAGGCGGUUUUGUAAGCCAGAUGUGAAAUCCCCGGGCUUAACCUGGGAAUGGCAUUUGGGACUGCAAGGCUAGAGUAUGGCAGAGGGGGGUGGAAUUCCACGUGUAGCAGUGAAAUGCGUAGAGAUGUGGAGGAACACCGAUGGCGAAGGCAGCCCCCUGGGCCAAUACUGACGCUCAUGCACGAAAGCGUGGGGAGCAAACAGG